GAUGAACGCUGGCGGCGUGCCUAAUACAUGCAAGUCGAGCGAACAGACGAGGAGCUUGCUCCUCUGACGUUAGCGGCGGACGGGUGAGUAACACGUGGAUAACCUACCUAUAAGACUGGGAUAACUUCGGGAAACCGGAGCUAAUACCGGAUAAUAUAUUGAACCGCAUGGUUCAAUAGUGAAAGACGGUUUUGCUGUCACUUAUAGAUGGAUCCGCGCCGCAUUAGCUAGUUGGUAAGGUAACGGCUUACCAAGGCGACGAUGCGUAGCCGACCUGAGAGGGUGAUCGGCCACACUGGAGCUGAGACGCGGUCCAGACUCCUACGGGAGGCAGCAGUAGGGAAUCUUCCGCAAUGGGCGAAAGCCUGACGGAGCAACGCCGCGUGAGUGAUGAAGGUCUUCGGCUCGUAAAACUCUGUUAUUAGGGAAGAACAAAUGUGUAAGUAACUAUGCACGUCUUGACGGUACCUAAUCAGAAAGCCACGGCUAACUACGU
Molecule: ribosomal RNA, 496 nt
Filed under: uncultured bacterium
Lineage: Bacteria
Description: partial 16S ribosomal RNA
Rfam family: Bacterial small subunit ribosomal RNA
Source: RNAcentral